GUUAUUCAAAUUUAUUCUUUUCUCGGGGUUUCAUGUGUUGUAAUUCUGAGGAAGGAGUAACAAGCAGAAAAUGCCUGUUUUGGUUUCCUUGAGUCAGCAUGUGCCAUAGUAAUUAUUAUAGAUGAAGCGUUUCAUGGCUCAUUUCAAAGUGUGUAACAGUUGAUACAGCACUCCAGUCUCCGCAUGACUACACCUCUAUUACUUUUGCAUGAAAAUUUUCAAUUAUUAGCCAUCUUUCUCUUCCUACAUAGAGAUUUGCAUAUUUUAUUGGUUCUUGGAGUAUAUUCGAGUCUUCAGACCCUGGAUUUCGGUGGAGCAGCUCAUUAAAGAUUUGCUAGAGCCUAGAGCUGAUUGGAAGCAUACGAGAUAUAAAUAAAUAUACAAGAAUUCGUGAAUAUGUGGUGCGUAAAAAAAUAAUUGUAGCA
Molecule: unclassified non-coding RNA, 425 nt
Filed under: Hevea brasiliensis (rubber tree)
Lineage: Eukaryota; Viridiplantae; Streptophyta; Magnoliopsida; Malpighiales; Euphorbiaceae
Source: RNAcentral